Molecule: long non-coding RNA, 1049 nt
Filed under: Vulpes vulpes (red fox)
Lineage: Eukaryota; Metazoa; Chordata; Mammalia; Carnivora; Canidae
Description: lncRNA (ENSVVUG00000001559.1)
Source: RNAcentral
UUCUCUAGCCCUCCAUUCGUAAUGAGCAACAGUCCCAAAAUUACUCUCUUAUUUUCUUCUGUGCUUUUACUUAUUUAUUUGAGAGAAAGGGAGCAGAAGAGGUGAGAGGGGCAGAGGGAGGGUGAGAGAAACAGACCAUUUGCUGAGAAGGGAGCCCCAAACUAGCCUCAAUUCCAGGUCCUAGACAGCCUGACCUGAGCUGAAGGCAGACUCCUAAAUGACCGAGCAACUCAGGAAUCUCUACCUGAGGUAUUCUUGAGCAGCAUGACGAAUGUACUGAUGGAUUCUCUGUGUCCUUCUAGUUUCAUCCUUGGAUUCAUUCCUCAUAACAAAAUUCAUGGAAAACAUCAGUGAGGAAGAACAAAUCAGUAUCGUCAAGGUGAGCUUCAGUAUCAUUAACGGAGGAAUGAAUGUUGCUUUCUUGGUUUCUUUCCACACAAAUUGUGAUGAUGAAAAUCAGACAGUGGCUCUCUGAGGUGAAAUACAUAAUCUUCCUCUUGAGAAAAGGGCUGAGUGGUUGCCCCUUGCCAACCGUUACCUUAUUUCAGAGGAUGUUUACCAUUGGCAACACCAAAGCUGGAAAUAAACAGCGAGAUGGGGUACAUUCCCUCAGCAGUGGUUUCUCCUGCUUGGUUGAGUGAUCCUGUAGUCAGCAUCUGAAUGAGCUGGAGAGACACAUCCUUCAGGAAAAGCAGCUUCCUCCAGGUGUCCUGUCAUUUAUUUGGGCACCAGUGUGUCAAACAUGAUGUCCCUCCCAUCUGGCUUCCUUAAGUUUUUGAGAGCAGUAAAAUCAGUGCAGAGUAAGAGGGAGCUGAGCCUCAUGGUGUUCUCUCUUCUGUACCUGCAGGUGGCCUCAGAACUAGUGACAGCGAUUGGGCGGUGGAAAAUAUUGAGGAUGAAAUUCCUGAAGAGGAAGAAACCUCAGGUCCGGAAGCACAAUGAGGCGGGAAUCAACAGGAGGGAGUCCCUGGUGCAGUUGGAGUAUACCUGCUACUUUGUAGACUGAGAGUGGGCGGGAUGAAAUAAAGAAGAUGAUGUAUAGGAAUGCA